This 1443-nucleotide ribosomal RNA is filed under the name uncultured Neptunomonas sp. Its description in RNAcentral is "bacterial SSU rRNA". It matches the Rfam family "Bacterial small subunit ribosomal RNA". The record is from RNAcentral. Lineage: Bacteria; Pseudomonadati; Pseudomonadota; Gammaproteobacteria; Oceanospirillales; Oceanospirillaceae.
UAACACAUGCAAGUCGAGCGGUAACAGAUCUAGCUUGCUAGAUGCUGACGAGCGGCGGACGGGUGAGUAACGCGUAGGAAUCUACCCAGUAGCGGGGGAUAAGCCAGAGAAAUUUGGUCUAAUACCGCAUACGCCCUUCGGGGGAAAGCAGGGGCUCUUCGGACCUUGCACUAUUGGAUGAGCCUGCGUGAGAUUAGCUAGUUGGUGAGGUAAUGGCUCACCAAGGCGACGAUCUCUAGCUGGUCUGAGAGGAUGAUCAGCCACACUGGGACUGAGACACGGCCCAGACUCCUACGGGAGGCAGCAGUGGGGAAUAUUGCACAAUGGGCGCAAGCCUGAUGCAGCCAUGCCGCGUGUGUGAAGAAGGCCCUAGGGUUGUAAAGCACUUUCAGUCGUGAGGAAAGGUGUGUGCUUAAUACGUACAUACUGUGACGUUAGCGACAGAAGAAGGACCGGCUAACUCCGUGCCAGCAGCCGCGGUAAUACGGAGGGUCCGAGCGUUAAUCGGAAUUACUGGGCGUAAAGCGCGCGUAGGUGGAUUGGUCAGUCAGAUGUGAAAGCCCAGGGCUCAACCUUGGAACUGCAUCUGAUACUGCUAGUCUAGAAUACAGUAGAGGGUAGUGGAAUUUCCUGUGUAGCGGUGAAAUGCGUAGAUAUAGGAAGGAACACCAGUGGCGAAGGCGACUACCUGGACUGAUAUUGACACUGAGGUGCGAAAGCGUGGGGAGCAAACAGGAUUAGAUACCCUGGUAGUCCACGCCGUAAACGAUGUCUACUAGCCGUUGGAGGACUUGAUCUUUUAGUGGCGAAGCUAACGCGAUAAGUAGACCGCCUGGGGAGUACGGCCGCAAGGUUAAAACUCAAAUGAAUUGACGGGGGCCCGCACAAGCGGUGGAGCAUGUGGUUUAAUUCGACGCAACGCGAAGAACCUUACCAACUCUUGACAUCCAGAGAAGAGGCUAGAGAUAGCUUUGUGCCUUUCGGGAGCUCUGAGACAGGUGCUGCAUGGCUGUCGUCAGCUCGUGUUGUGAAAUGUUGGGUUAAGUCCCGUAACGAGCGCAACCCUUGUCCUUAUUUGCCAGCACGUAAUGGUGGGAACUCUAAGGAGACUGCCGGUGACAAACCGGAGGAAGGUGGGGACGACGUCAAGUCAUCAUGGCCCUUACGAGUUGGGCUACACACGUGCUACAAUGGCCGGUACAGAGGGCUGCAAACCUGCGAAGGUAAGCUAAUCUCACAAAACCGGUCGUAGUCCGGAUUGGAGUCUGCAACUCGACUCCAUGAAGUCGGAAUCGCUAGUAAUCGUGGAUCAGAAUGCCACGGUGAAUACGUUCCCGGGCCUUGUACACACCGCCCGUCACACCAUGGGAGUGGAUUGCACCAGAAGUAGCUAGCUUAACCUUCGGGAGGGCGGUUACCACGGUGUGGUUCAUGACUGGGGUG